UGUUCGCUCCAACGAUCCUUAUAUCGGUGUUGGUUGCUUUGGAAUACAAAGCGGGAAAACCCUUUUUCGGUAAUGGAAAACAUGACCAGAAACAGCAGUAAAACUAAAAACAAAUCGCUGGACAAGAAAAGCUCGACACGCCACACGGACGAGCGCCUAGCCUUGUGGCCUCGCAGCCGGCCCACCUUGCCCGCAAUGCGCGAAGUUUUCUUAUCGGACGAUGCAAACUGAGCCCAUUUCGUACACAACGCAACCAGUACGCCGGCGGGCGGUGCCUCGGCGCAGAGGUGCUACCUCGUCCGGUGGCCGGAGGCCUGGAAGGGGAUCAGCUCGGGAUGCAUCGGUGACCCGUGCUCUGAUUCCGCAGCUUCCCGCAAGAGGCCGAUUAUUCAACUCGCCGUGACCCGGCGCAGCGGCGGCGCAGAGUGCGCUGCCCGCGGCGCCCGCGGAGGGAGGCUAGGGAAGCAGGGCCGUCGACGCGCGCUCCCAAGUUGUAGUCAAGUAGACCGGCCCAAGAGAAGAAAAAGAGGACUAGCCCUGGCGCAGAGGCUCCUCGGAGUUCGGAGUGCACUGCGUGCGCCGGUGGAAUGAUGCUAGGGAAGCACGGCUAUUGAGUUGUUGACGUGCGCUCCCAAGCGUAUCAGUGGUCUGGUCAAGGAACAUUCUGAGGGCAAGAAUGGACAUUUAUAGCUCAAGAAACCUGGUGCUCUGUUACAUGAUUUCGUAAGAUUUUGCAAGUUGUACUAAUGAAUCUACCAGCGUAAGAUUUUGCAUCACACUGAAAUUUUGCAUGUACACAGAGCAGCUUGUCUGUAGGAACCGUCCUGCAAGAAAGGAAGAGGCCAAGGAGAUGAUCUGCACAAGGGCAAGGCUAAGGGAAGGUAUGUGCAAGUGCAAUAUCAAAUUAAGGCUGGGUGUUAUGCCCCUUUUCGGAGAAAAAGGGAAGGUCUGUAAAAACUGGAGGGGCUGCAUAGUUUUCUUGUAAAACUAUCAUGACGCUUCUUCUUCAGAUGGUUGCUUCUAUCAACAAGGAGGCCCUCCUCGGACGCCCUUCUGGAGUUCUUUACCGACUACGGAGUAGUCACUUUUUUGCACUUAAUGGUGUGACAUGCAGCUUGCUUGUUGUGGAUAAAUAAGGGAUACCCCCUCUGAUGUGCCCUGACUAUGUAAUGCGUCAAAGGUCUAGUCAAGGAAGACUUCGGAGUCCGGUAGCAAAAAAGGGGCAUGUUUGUAGCCUCAUGGAUGCGGUGACCUGGUGUUCUUUGCCUCUUUUGUCAUGCCGGCGUUGCCUGGUGCGUACGUCUGCUGUUGUUUUCCGUUCCCUCGGCUUCAAGUAGUCAGGAUAGCGUACGAGGACUUGCAAUGGCAGGGUGGUUGAUUGCAACAGGCCGGAAUUCGGGCUGGUUGCUGGCCAGUUUAGUUGAACACAUAGCUGGUGUAAAGAGUUUGUAUUUCUUUUGGGGUAUUAGUUAUGUUUUAGAUGAUGCUGUUUUGACGCUCUGUUCCCAGCGUAGAGUGAUGAGCAAAAGAAUCACUGUACAUGUGGAUAAUAAUAUAGUUCUGGUUGAGAAAAAUAGCAAAAGUUUUUGUGAGA
This is a long non-coding RNA of Aegilops tauschii subsp. strangulata, 1594 nucleotides long. RefSeq lists it as uncharacterized. The record is from RefSeq and is a predicted model, not a curated record. Lineage: Eukaryota; Viridiplantae; Streptophyta; Magnoliopsida; Poales; Poaceae.